Molecule: ribosomal RNA, 253 nt
Filed under: uncultured bacterium
Lineage: Bacteria
Description: partial 16S ribosomal RNA
Rfam family: Bacterial small subunit ribosomal RNA
Source: RNAcentral
UACAGAGGUGGCAAGCGUUGUUCGGAAUUACUGGGCGUAAAGGGCGCGUAGGCGGCCUUCUAAGUCAGACGUGAAAUCCCCCGGCUUAACCUGGGAACUGCGUCUGAUACUGGGAGGCUUGAGUAUGGGAGAGGGAUGUAGAAUUCCAGGUGUAGCGGUGAAAUGCGUAGAUAUCUGGAGGAAUACCGGUGGCGAAGGCGGCCUGCUGGGCAGUUGCUGACGCUGAGGCGCGACAGCGUGGGGAGCAAACAGG